Molecule: RNA transcript, 1954 nt
Organism: Mangifera indica (mango)
Lineage: Eukaryota; Viridiplantae; Streptophyta; Magnoliopsida; Sapindales; Anacardiaceae
Gene name: phosphatase IMPL1, chloroplastic-like
Exons: 12
Source: RefSeq, a predicted model, not a curated record
GUACUCUGCAAUUUCUGAAAACAUUUCAAUCGUUUUUCUUAUUUUCAAAAAACAGUUGUUUCCUGUUUUUCUCGAAUUUCAUUUAUUUAUUAUUCUUACUUUAAGAGAACAGAAGCUACUACUCAUCCAGAGUCCAUACUAGAUUCUUGUAGUGAGGUAACAAAUUUCAGAUUUUGAACACAAAAAUCUGUGUCUCAAACUCGAUCAGACUUCAAAAACAUACUCAAAAUCAACUAUUUGACUCUUUCAUUUGCUUCUAAUUGAGAUGGGUAGGUCUCUAAUUUGCUUCUCAAACAUUCCUCUGAAAUUUUCUUACAUACCUAGAUCAUUUCCACCUCUCAAUCACUCAAACCAGUGCCUAUUUCUCAAACCCAGUAACAAUUUCUCAUCUGGGUAUAAAAAAGUUUCGACUUUGAGUACAAAACUGGGGAGAAACGUUUCUACAACGGCUGUGUUGUCUGAGACUUCUUAUCAGAAAGACUAUCCUAAAAUUGGUGCUAAAUCCACCGGACCUAUUCCUCCUAGCCAGCUCAUUCAAGUUGUUGAGACUGCUGCUAAAACUGGUGCUGAGGUUGUGAUGGAUGCUGUGAAUAGGCCUCGUAAUAUUACAUAUAAAGGGCUCACUGACUUGGUGACUGACACAGAUAAAAAUAGUGAGGCGGCUAUAUUAGAAGUUGUGAAAAAGAAUUUUGGAGAACACCUCAUUCUUGGAGAAGAGGGUGGAAUCAUCGGAGACACAACAUCUGAUUAUCUCUGGUGUAUUGAUCCUUUAGAAGCUUUUAUAAUUUACCACUUCUUUGCAAGUACCGAUGUACUGCAGCAAUUCUUGACCCUAGGGGUAACGGCUCGGGUCAACCAAAUGGAUGGAACAACAAACUUUGCACAUGGUUAUCCUAGCUUUGCUGUUUCUGUUGGAGUUCUAUUUCAAGGAAAUCCUGCUGCUGCUGCUGUGGUAGAGUUUGUGGGUGGCCCUAUGUGUUGGAAUACCCGUCUAUUUUCUGCAACUGCUGGUGGAGGAUCAUUCUGUAAUGGUCAAAAAAUUUACGUCAGUCAAACCAAUCAGGUGGAGCGAUCUCUUCUAGUGACUGGCUUUGGAUAUGAGCACGAUGAUGCAUGGGCAACUAAUAUAGAAUUAUUCAAGGAAUUUACUGAUGUCAGCCGGGGUGUGAGAAGACUUGGAGCUGCUGCUGUGGACAUGUGCCAUGUAGCUCUUGGGAUUGUAGAAAGCUAUUGGGAAUAUCGUCUAAAGCCAUGGGAUAUGGCUGCAGGUGUUUUGAUUGUUGAAGAGGCUGGCGGGGCAGUUACUCGCAUGGAUGGUGGAAAGUUUUGUGUGUUUGAUAGAUCUGUUUUGGUAUCCAAUGGUGUACUACAUGCUAAGCUUUUGGAGAGGAUUGCACCUCCAACUGAGAAAUUGAAGACUAAAGGAAUUGAUUUCUCGCUCUGGUAUAAGCCUGAUAAUUACCACACAGACAUUUGAAAGGUGCUAGAUUUCUUUUUUCUUCUGCCAGCUUGAUUAGAAGGCUCUUUGCAGACAUCAGCUUUGGGGUAGCCGAGGAAGUUGCAGGUUUGUGGGAACAUUUUUUCAUCUCUAUGAUAAAUGAGAUGCGGUAAAAAGCCAUUUGAGGGCAAAAACUCAUCGGAGUAAGCAUUGGUGUGCUAUUUUUUCCUUUCACCUGGUUAAAAACCCCUUAAGCAUGAAAAUAGCUUACAGGCGCAUACUAAUCCUUUUAAGCGCAACUGUAUGAAACAAUUUGUAACAGUUAAAAAUGCUACUAUAUAAAUUGAUUAUUUGUGGGCAAAGUUAAUCAGAGUGGCACAGUGGAAGCGAGGUGGCUAAGUGGAAACCUGUCUCUAACAGUGGCUUCUGGAAGCUUUUUGUUAAAUUUUCCUGGGUUGAACAACAUAAAUUUGUGCUAUUCUUACUAAUUUUAAGAUCUUACCUUUUGGGUGGGCA